Molecule: ribosomal RNA, 337 nt
Filed under: uncultured bacterium
Lineage: Bacteria
Description: bacterial SSU rRNA
Rfam family: Bacterial small subunit ribosomal RNA
Source: RNAcentral
AGUGUAGAUUCAGAGUUUGAUCCUGCUCAGGAUGAACGCUAGCGGCAGGCCUAAUACAUGCAAGUCGAACGGGAUCCAGUAGCUUGCUACUGGUGAGAGUGGCGCACGGGUGCGUAACGCGUGAGCAACCUGCCCGUCCCAGGGGGAUAGCCCCUCGGAAGAGGGAUUAACACCGCAUGACGCUGGAGGGUGGCAUCAUCUUCCAGCCAAAUAUUCAUAGGGGACGGAUGGGCUCGCGUGGCAUUAGCUUGUUGGUAAGGUAACGGCUUACCAAGGCAACGAUGCCUAGGGGCUCUGAGAGGAGAAUCCCCCACACUGGUACUGAGACACGGACCAG